UGGGGAAUUUUGCACAAUGGGGGAAACCCUGAUGCAGCGACGCCGCGUGAUUUAGAAGGCCUUCGGGUUGUAAAAAUCUUUUCUAUGGGAAGAAAAUGACAGUACCAUAGGAAUAAGGAUUGGAUGUUUACGUGCCAGCAGCCGCGGUAAUACGUAAGGUCCGAGCGUUGUCCGGAAUCAUUGGGCGUAAAGGGUACGUAGGCGGGUAGGCAAGUUAGAAGUGAAAUCCUGUAGCUCAACUACAGUAAGCUAUUAAAACUGCUCAUAUUGAGGUAUGGGAGGGAAGAUGGAAUUCCUAGUCUAGCGGUUGAAUGGGGAGAUAUUAGGAGGAAUACCGGUGGCGAAGGCGACUUGCUGGCCAUAAUCUGACGCUGAGGUACGAAAGCGUGGGUAGCAAACAGG
RNAcentral lists this ribosomal RNA (402 nucleotides) under Bacteroidota bacterium. Its description in RNAcentral is "Bacteroidetes bacterium partial 16S ribosomal RNA". It matches the Rfam family "Bacterial small subunit ribosomal RNA", at positions 355 to 776 of the family's 1533-position model. The record is from RNAcentral. Lineage: Bacteria; Pseudomonadati; Bacteroidota.